RNAcentral lists this non-coding RNA (21 nucleotides) under Caenorhabditis elegans. The record is from RNAcentral. Lineage: Eukaryota; Metazoa; Nematoda; Chromadorea; Rhabditida; Rhabditidae.
UUUUGUUGUCGAGUGAUGAUC